Molecule: transfer RNA, 72 nt
Filed under: Marmota marmota marmota (Alpine marmot)
Lineage: Eukaryota; Metazoa; Chordata; Mammalia; Rodentia; Sciuridae
Also listed under: 2 other names
Rfam family: tRNA
About the family: Transfer RNA (tRNA) molecules are approximately 80 nucleotides in length. Their secondary structure includes four short double-helical elements and three loops (D, anti-codon, and T loops). Further hydrogen bonds mediate the characteristic L-shaped molecular structure. tRNAs have two regions of fundamental functional importance: the anti-codon, which is responsible for specific mRNA codon recognition, and the 3' end, to which the tRNAs corresponding amino acid is attached (by aminoacyl-tRNA synthetases). tRNAs cope with the degeneracy of the genetic code in two manners: having more than one tRNA (with a specific anti-codon) for a particular amino acid; and 'wobble' base-pairing, i.e. permitting non-standard base-pairing at the 3rd anti-codon position.
Source: Rfam by way of RNAcentral
GGGAUUGUGGCUCAGUGGUACAGCAUUUGCCCGGCAUGCGUGAGGCCCUGGGUUCAAUCCCCAGCACUGCCA